This 801-nucleotide ribosomal RNA is filed under the name uncultured bacterium. RNAcentral describes it as "bacterial SSU rRNA". It matches the Rfam family "Bacterial small subunit ribosomal RNA", at positions 68 to 845 of the family's 1533-position model. The record is from RNAcentral.
AGAAAGUGGUCUUCGGACCGCAAGUAGAGUGGCGCACGGGUGAGUAACGCGUAGGUAAUCUACCCUUAUAUCUGGGAUAACAUUGGGAAACUGGUGCUAAUACCGGAUACACUUUACUGCUGCGGGGCAGUAGAGGAAAGGUGGCCUCUUGGUCAAAGCUACCGUAUAGGGAUGAGCCUGCGUACCAUUAGCUAGUAGGUGGGGUAACGGCCCACCUAGGCGACGAUGGUUAGCGGGUCUGAGAGGAUGAUCCGCCACACUGGAACUGGAACACGGACCAGACUCCUACGGGAGGCAGCAGUGAGGAAUAUUGCGCAAUGGGGGAAACCCUGACGCAGCGACGCCGCGUGAGUGAGGAAGGCCUUCGGGUCGUAAAGCUCUGUCAGAAGGGAAGAAGUGUUAGAUGGUUAAUACCCAUGUAAUUUGACGGUACCUUCAGAGGAAGCACCGGCUAACUCCGUGCCAGCAGCCGCGGUAAUACGGAGGGUGCUAGCGUUGUUCGGAAUUACUGGGCGUAAAGGGCGCGUAGGCGGCUGGAUAAGUCAGAUGUGAAAGCCCACGGCUUAACUGUGGAAGUGCAUUUGAAACUGUCCGGCUUGAGUAUCGGAGGGGAGUGUGGAAUUCCCGGUGUAGAGGUGAAAUUCGUAGAGAUCGGGAGGAACACCGGUGGCGAAGGCGACACUCUGGACGAAUACUGACGCUGAGGCGCGAAAGCGUGGGGAGCAAACAGGAUUAGAUACCCUGGUAGUCCACGCCGUAAACGAUGUGAACUAGAGGUAGGUGGUGUUGAUCCCAUCUGUC